This 472-nucleotide ribosomal RNA is filed under the name uncultured bacterium. RNAcentral describes it as "bacterial SSU rRNA". It matches the Rfam family "Bacterial small subunit ribosomal RNA", at positions 355 to 825 of the family's 1533-position model. The record is from RNAcentral.
UGGGGAAUUUUGGACAAUGGGCGCAAGCCUGAUCCAGCCAUGCCGCGUGCGGGAAGAAGGCCUUCGGGUUGUAAACCGCUUUUGUCAGGGAAGAAAAGGUUCUGGUUAAUACCUGGGACUCAUGACGGUACCUGAAGAAUAAGCACCGGCUAACUACGUGCCAGCAGCCGCGGUAAUACGUAGGGUGCAAGCGUUAAUCGGAAUUACUGGGCGUAAAGCGUGCGCAGGCGGUUAUGCAAGACAGAGGUGAAAUCCCCGGGCUCAACCUGGGAACUGCCUUUGUGACUGCAUAGCUAGAGUACGGUAGAGGGGGAUGGAAUUCCGCGUGUAGCAGUGAAAUGCGUAGAUAUGCGGAGGAACACCGAUGGCGAAGGCAAUCCCCUGGACCUGUACUGACGCUCAUGCACGAAAGCGUGGGGAGCAAACAGGAUUAGAUACCCCAGUAGUCCCUGAGCGGGCUGGCAAGGCGCAU